AUUGAACGCUGGCGGAAUGCUUUACACAUGCAAGUCGAGCGGCAGCACGGGGGCAACCCUGGUGGCGAGCGGCGAACGGGUGAGUAACACAUCGGAACGUACCCUGUCGUGGGGGAUAACGAGUCGAAAGAUUCGCUAAUACCGCAUACGACCCGAGGGUGAAAGCGGGGGAUCGCAAGACCUCGCGCGACUGGAGCGGCCGAUGGCGGAUUAGCUAGUUGGUGGGGUAAAGGCCCACCAAGGCGACGAUCCGUAGCGGGUCUGAGAGGGACGGCCCGCCACACUGGGACUGAGACACGGCCCAGACUCCUACGGGAGGCAGCAGUGAGGAAUAUUGCACAAUGGGGGAAACCCUGAUGCAGCGACGCCGCGUGCGGGAAGAAGGCUUUCGGGUCGUAAACCGCUUUUCUGGGGACGAGCAAGGACGGUACCCCAGGAAUAAGUCCCGGCUAACUACGUG
This 460-nucleotide ribosomal RNA is filed under the name uncultured bacterium. Its description in RNAcentral is "bacterial SSU rRNA". It matches the Rfam family "Bacterial small subunit ribosomal RNA", at positions 29 to 507 of the family's 1533-position model. The record is from RNAcentral.